GUGGAGGUAGUCGCGUGCUGGCAGGAGAAAAGAGACUGAAGCUUUCGAGCUGGAGAAAGUAUUAGAUAUAAGUUGCAACCAACUAUGCUGCACAUAGGUUCGCUGAUUAUCAGCUACCUUCCAUGUUAAGAGUAGCCACAGUGAGUAAACAGGCGAAUGCUGCAGUUUUCUGGCGACUUUAGAAAGUACUGUGGAGCUAAACUGUUAGCCUUUGUUAGCUCGGGUUGCUAUCAAACCCUUAAAGUUUCUCAAUCUGCUUCCAGAAGCAAGGUAACACUUGAAGCACAACUUGUGUUUAUUUUCCUUCACGUCGUGUUACUGUUAUUAAAGAGAAAAACAACAUGUCCUGUUACGUUAUUUAGAGCCCCGCAUUUUCCGACCGAGACACGAUACCAUUGUCUUCGGCCGUGAUGCACUGAGAUCCAUGAGCACAUGUCAGGGGGUUUUUUUUGUUCCUGAGGUGGAUUCCUCCGGUGAAAUAGAUGGCGAGCCUUCCAACCUGGACUUAGAGAGACUGAGAUUCGCUUCUUUUCCACGAUCUGCUGCACCUUGCGGUGUGGUAGGACUGUAUCACUCACACUUUCACACACAGCUGGUUAUACAUAAGACCACCGACUGACAUUCUCUCACCCCUAUUUUCUUUCACACCUUGGGAAUUUUUUGGACUUUACCCCUUGGACAUUUUUUAUUUGGGACUUUAAAUAAUAAGCUGUUGUGUAGAAUAUUAUCCACAUGUGAAAAGAGUGUGAGAUUUUCACCUGAUUGUACUUUAGAUUCGUGUAAUCUGUUUCUAUAAGACUUAAGGAGUCAGGUUACUAGGGUGCACCCGAACAUUGAAACCCGAAUGUUGAAACCGAACAUUGAAAACCAAAAGUAACACUUGGCCAAGUCAUUGUUUUAAUAGUUUAUGUGUUUUACUUUUCUUUCAUUUUUUUUAAGUUUCCUUUCUACCAUUGUAAAGUGUCUUUAACCUGUGACAACCUUAUAGUGUAUUUCACUAAAGUUUU
This is a long non-coding RNA of Oreochromis aureus, 1007 nucleotides long. Lineage: Eukaryota; Metazoa; Chordata; Actinopteri; Cichliformes; Cichlidae. The record is from Ensembl.